RNAcentral lists this ribosomal RNA (428 nucleotides) under uncultured bacterium. RNAcentral describes it as "bacterial SSU rRNA". It matches the Rfam family "Bacterial small subunit ribosomal RNA", at positions 354 to 796 of the family's 1533-position model. The record is from RNAcentral.
GUAGGGAAUAUUGCACAAUGGGGGAAACCCUGAUGCAGCGACGCCGCGUGAGUGAUGAAGGCCUUCGGGUCGUAAAGCUCUGUCGUAUGGGACUAACAAAAUGAAGGUACCAUGCAAGAAAGGAUCGGCUAACUUCGUGCCAGCAGCCGCGGUAAGACGAGGGAUCCUAGCGUUGUUCGGAAUUAUUGGGCGUAAAGCGGGUGUAGGCGGACUUAUAAGUCAGGUGUGAAAUCCCAGGGCUCAACCCUGGAAGUGCACUUGAUACUGCAAGUCUUGAGUGUGGUAGAGGCUAUUAGAAUUCCUGGUGUAGUGGUGAAAUACGUAGAUAUCAGGAGGAAUACCGGAGGCGAAGGCGGAUAGCUGGGCCAACACUGACGCUGAGACCCGAAAGCGUGGGGAUCAAACAGGAUUAGAAACCCCGGUAGUCC